GUCUACGGCCAUACCACCUGAACGCGCCCGAUCUCGUCUGAUCUCGGAAGCUAAGCAGGGUCGGGCCUUGGAUGGGAGAAAUCAAGGGAUGAUGUAAGCA
RNAcentral lists this ribosomal RNA (100 nucleotides) under Neogale vison (American mink). The record is from RNAcentral. Lineage: Eukaryota; Metazoa; Chordata; Mammalia; Carnivora; Mustelidae.